AGAAAUACAAAUUUGUCAAAUGUUUAAUUUAGGUUUCCACUCCAAUGGUAUAAAAACUGAUAAAGUCUCCAGCGAGAGUCUCCUUUCCUGAUAGUCCUGUUUUUUGAUUGGAUUAGCUAUAAGGGAGACUUCCACCUUUUGUCUUUAAUGGCUCUGGGAUGGCUCUUUGGAACCAGAGUUCCUGCCACCAUCAGCAUUUGAAAAGUUAUGCUGAUUCAAUCGGAUUGGUAAUGGCCUCAGAGUAGGGUGUGUUCCUAAUUCAUUUGCAUGCUUUGUUUCAGUUUCUCCCCCCCCUCAAUGUAAACUCCUCCCCUCUAAAUGUAUAAAUUGUAAGGGAAGGUUUUCCCUUAGUUAGACUAUCUUAGACUAUCUUAGACUAUCUUUGAGAUGACUACAGCUACGCAAUAAAGAACUUCUGCGUGUAAGAUACCUCAAGAGUCUCCUGGUCUGUUGCGUGGAAGAAAGAAAAACUUCACUACAGAUGGUGCCGUGACCCGGAUAGAGAAAUCUUACCUGAAUCCAAAACUUCAAGCAACAAAAGAUUUCAACAGAGAAAUCUUACCUGAGUUCCAGAACAAGAUCAACAAAGUGAACUGAGUUCCAGAACAAGAACAAAAAGAACUUUUCUGACUGAGUUCCAGACUGAAUCUUUUCAUACAAGCAACGAUUCGAUACCACUUGAUGGCUGUCCUGAGACCCAUACACACCGACCCUUCACCUGUGUAGGAAGACACCACUUCCAGAAAAACAACGAGACCCACUGCCGGGCCAACUAGCAUCAAAGAAAA
This is a non-coding RNA of Pimephales promelas (fathead minnow), 788 nucleotides long. Lineage: Eukaryota; Metazoa; Chordata; Actinopteri; Cypriniformes; Leuciscidae. The record is from RefSeq and is a predicted model, not a curated record.